Molecule: ribosomal RNA, 253 nt
Filed under: uncultured bacterium
Lineage: Bacteria
Description: partial 16S ribosomal RNA
Rfam family: Bacterial small subunit ribosomal RNA
Source: RNAcentral
UACGGAGGGGGCUAGCGUUGUUCGGAUUUACUGGGCGUAAAGGGUGCGUAGGUGGCGUCGUAAGUCGGGUGUGAAAUUUCGGAGCUCAACUCCGAAACUGCAUUCGAUACUGCGGUGCUUGAGGACUGGAGAGGAGACUGGAAUUUACGGUGUAGCAGUGAAAUGCGUAGAGAUCGUAAGGAAGACCAGUGGCGAAGGCGGGUCUCUGGACAGUUCCUGACACUGAGGCACGAAGGCCAGGGGAGCAAACGGG